Molecule: ribosomal RNA, 520 nt
Filed under: uncultured bacterium
Lineage: Bacteria
Description: bacterial SSU rRNA
Rfam family: Bacterial small subunit ribosomal RNA
Source: RNAcentral
AUGGGCGCAAGCCUGAUCCAGCCAUGCCGCGUGCAGGAUGAAGGCCUUCGGGUUGUAAACUGCUUUUGUACGGAACGAAAAGCCUUUUUCUAAUAAAGAGAGGUCAUGACGGUACCGUAAGAAUAAGCACCGGCUAACUACGUGCCAGCAGCCGCGGUAAUACGUAGGGUGCAAGCGUUAAUCGGAAUUACUGGGCGUAAAGCGUGCGCAGGCGGUUAUAUAAGACAGUUGUGAAAUCCCCGGGCUCAACCUGGGAACUGCAUCUGUGACUGUAUAGCUAGAGUACGGUAGAGGGGGAUGGAAUUCCGCGUGUAGCAGUGAAAUGCGUAGAUAUGCGGAGGAACACCGAUGGCGAAGGCAAUCCCCUGGACCUGUACUGACGCUCAUGCACGAAAGCGUGGGGAGCAAACAGGAUUAGAUACCCUGGUAGUCCACGCCCUAAACGAUGUCAACUGGUUGUUGGGUCUUCACUGACUCAGUAACGAAGCUAACGCGUGAAGUUGACCGCCUGGGGAGUACG